CGCAUCUGUGCAUGCAGCAUAUCAAUAAGCGGAGGAAAAGGAGUGUACCUACGCUUAGGAUGUUGACGAGACUGUCGAUCUCAUCUAUACAUGACUCUGUGCAUAUCAAUAAGCGGAGGAAAAGAAACUAACAAGGAUUCCCUUAGUAACGGCGAGUGAAGCGGGAAGAGCUCAAAUUUGAAAUCUUCAAGGUUUUACCUUGACGAAUUGUAGUUUAAAGAAGUGUUUUCUGUUGAAGUUUUGGUAAAAGUUCUUUGGAAUAGGACAUCAUAGAGGGUGAGAAUCCCGUAUUUGACCAUUAUUUUCAGCUGUGUGAUACACUUUCAAAGAGUCGGAUUGUUUGGGAAUGCAGUCCAAAAUGGGUGGUAAAUUUCAUCUAAAGCUAAAUAUUGGCGAGAGACCGAUAGCGAACAAGUACCGUGAGGGAAAGAUGGAAAGAACUUUGAAAAGAGAGUUAAACAGUACGUGAAAUUGUCAAAAGGGAAGCGUUUGACACCAUGUGUUGUUUUCUCGAAAAUCAAUUAAAAAGAGUUUAGAUUUUGUUGUGUAUUGACCUUAACAGCUUGCAUUUCAAUUUUCUUGCUUUUUUUAAUGCACUUUUCGUUUAACAAGUCAACAUCAGUUUCUUUUGUUGUAAAAAGGUCAUUGGAAGGUGGCUUUCUUUUCGGAGAAAGUGUUUAUAGCCUUUGACUCCUGCAAUCGGAGAGACUGAGGUCCUGCAGCGUAGAUCCUUCGGGGUUAGAUACAUUUGUGCUAAGUUAUAGCUUUUUAUAGACAACUUGUUGACUAUGAUUAGUCUUGUAGCUUACUCGCCUAUGCUAUUUUACCUACGCUUAGGAUGUUGAUGUGAUACUGCGAGCA
RNAcentral lists this ribosomal RNA (861 nucleotides) under uncultured Neocallimastigales. RNAcentral describes it as "partial large subunit ribosomal RNA". It matches the Rfam family "Eukaryotic large subunit ribosomal RNA", at positions 1 to 646 of the family's 3401-position model. The record is from RNAcentral. Lineage: Eukaryota; Fungi; Neocallimastigomycota; Neocallimastigomycetes; Neocallimastigales.